GAAGCGCUCCGCGGCGCCCGCCCUCGUCUGGCGCAGAGACCUGGCUGGAAAGACACAGCGUGGCUUCGAUUCCGGCGCCUGCGUGUCACCAGCCCAGGGUGGCCGUGGAAGCUGGACCCGAGCCGCAGGCCCCCCAGGCUGGGCCUGGGAGGAAAGCGGUUUGAAAAAGAUCGGAACUGAGGAACUCUCUUAGAGCGGGGGACUCCCUGCUCCUACAGCCUUAACCAAUGCCCAGCGCUUGGAAAGUGGAGGACUCGGGGAUUCGGGAGCGUUUCAGGCCUGGGGAAAUGGAAGGGUCGGGGACCUAGGUGAAAGGUUAUUUGCCAGAAAUGUCUUGGCUUUUUCAUUUAUUCUGUCUUACCUAGCCCUUCGCCGCCACCUCCAGUCGUUGGCCUCUUACCACCUUCAAAUGCCACCUUUUCCGGAAGAUGUAGCCCUGCGCCCUUGAAACUGGCAAACCCUAUUAGUGUCUGCAAGCUGAGAUGCAGGGUGUGGGCAUAGACACAGAUCAAGAGAUCCGGCCCUGGACCCUCUUGGGCAGAACCUUGCCCUUCUCAUUUCACCUGAAGCCCAAACUUUGUAUGGCAAAGACUUGGUAAUGAUCUCUAUAGAGCUAGGAUUACACAGUUGUCUCAUCCUUUGGGGGCCCUUUAGCCAAACUGUGACCUCCUUAAUGGUGCCUUCGUCAGCUAACAUUAGGCGCCCUGAGGUGCUUCUGCAUACUGCCAUCGUUUACAAUUACUCAUCUUUGUGUACACACCCUAGCACAAGGUCAGCCAUAUAACAUAAAAGAUGCUCAGUGAAUGUUGAGUAAUUGUGAGCAUCUGGAACUUGCCGUGGGAUAAAACGCGUUCAUUGGGAUUUCUUCAUAAUAAUAUGAAGAUUCCAUUUAGCGCCUCUCUGCAAUACUUAAACGUAACCUUUGAGGGGAGAGGGAAAAGAAAAGGCAUGAAAAUAUCUAUAGAGCCAUUUCUGGUGUUCUCCUUCCCUUUUCCACACCCGCCUUCCCACCCCUUGCCAACUAAAUGUUCAUUUGAAUAGUGCUUUUUGGCAAAAUUCCAAACUCCUGCAUUAUGCACUUGUGAUGACACUGAAUUAGAUUAGUGUCUGCAAGGUUAAUGUUCCCUCAGGCAUUAACCUUAGUAAAUCGUGAUGCCUGUUUAGAAAUAGCUAAGGCCCAGAGGUUCAGCUUAAUUUAGACACAGGUAACUAAGAGCAAGAGUAAACCACAGCUCCACAAUCAACUCUCUCUGUGUGCUUUCUCCAUUAAAAAAUAUAAAUUUUAAUAAGAUGACCGCACAUAUUCUGAAUGUUAAUUGCAACAAAACAAUGACACAAGUUAGAGCCAAGGGACAGUUAUCUGGAGGACAGCCUUCUGGCAACUUCUAGCACCCGCAGUGGCAUCAAAUUCAGACGUCAUAAUGAAAAACACCUCUGGCAGCAAGAAAGCCGACUCUCAGUAUUAGGCAGUGGGAAAACUAAUAACUGAAAAGGGCUCAAGGCCUGGAGGUUACAUCCAAUGGGCUAGGAUUGAUUGGUUUGCUAUUAGGAAUAGAUCUAGUUCUCUGCUCAGCAGCCUAACAAGCGAUAGAGAAACAGCUGUCUAAAAUGGGCAGAACGAAGAGCACUACAGGGAUAGUAACAGCAAAAGCGAUGGAAUGUCACUAUCCAUGAGCCUAAAGCAGUUUGGCACAUUGUAGGUGCUCCAUCAAUAUUUGUUGAAAAAACAAAGACAACUCUCAGGUUUCUGGUUUGAGCAACCGGGUGAUUGUGGCUUACUGAGGCAAGAAACACAGAAGGAUACAGAGUCCGAUGGGAAGUGACAAGUUCCUUUUUUGACAUGCUGAGUCCGUGUCUUGUGAGAGCAAUGUCCAGGGCACCUCACAACAUGGGAGCUUGCUUCAUUCACCAGAGCAAACCUGAAAGGAGAAUCCAUGAAAGAGUGUGAGCAAGUCUUCUAUAACCU
RNAcentral lists this long non-coding RNA (1966 nucleotides) under Homo sapiens (human). RNAcentral describes it as "HSALNT0314275". The record is from RNAcentral. Lineage: Eukaryota; Metazoa; Chordata; Mammalia; Primates; Hominidae.